CGUGGCCUAGUGGAUAAGGCAUCGCACUUCUACUUUCCGACCCGCGAGAUGGGCGGGGGGCAUGCGAGGACCGGGGGUUCGAAUCCCUCCGG
This 92-nucleotide transfer RNA is filed under the name Chloroparvula japonica. It matches the Rfam family "tRNA", at positions 6 to 65 of the family's 71-position model. From Rfam's summary of the family: Transfer RNA (tRNA) molecules are approximately 80 nucleotides in length. Their secondary structure includes four short double-helical elements and three loops (D, anti-codon, and T loops). Further hydrogen bonds mediate the characteristic L-shaped molecular structure. tRNAs have two regions of fundamental functional importance: the anti-codon, which is responsible for specific mRNA codon recognition, and the 3' end, to which the tRNAs corresponding amino acid is attached (by aminoacyl-tRNA synthetases). tRNAs cope with the degeneracy of the genetic code in two manners: having more than one tRNA (with a specific anti-codon) for a particular amino acid; and 'wobble' base-pairing, i.e. permitting non-standard base-pairing at the 3rd anti-codon position. Lineage: Eukaryota; Viridiplantae; Chlorophyta; Chloropicophyceae; Chloropicales; Chloropicaceae. The record is from RNAcentral.